This 400-nucleotide ribosomal RNA is filed under the name uncultured cyanobacterium. RNAcentral describes it as "bacterial SSU rRNA". It matches the Rfam family "Bacterial small subunit ribosomal RNA", at positions 355 to 770 of the family's 1533-position model. The record is from RNAcentral. Lineage: Bacteria; Bacillati; Cyanobacteriota.
UGGGGAAUUUUCCGCAAUGGGCGCAAGCCUGACGGAGCAAUACCGCGUGCGGGAGGAAGGCCUUUGGGUCGUAAACCGCUUUUAACAGGGAAGAAGCUCUGACGGUACCUGUUGAAUAAGCCUCGGCUAACUCCGUGCCAGCAGCCGCGGUAAGACGGAGGAGGCAAGCGUUAUCCGGAAUUAUUGGGCGUAAAGCGUCCGCAGGUGGCAUUACAAGUCUGUUGUUAAAUCCCAGGGCUCAACUCUGGAGCAGCGAUGGAAACUGUAGUGCUAGAGUACGGUAGGGGUAGAGGGAAUUCCCAGUGUAGCGGUGAAAUGCGUAGAUAUUGGGAAGAACACCAGUGGCGAAGGCGCUCUACUGGACCGUAACUGACACUCAUGGACGAAAGCUAGGGGAGCG